Molecule: ribosomal RNA, 38 nt
Filed under: Amylosporus bracei
Lineage: Eukaryota; Fungi; Basidiomycota; Agaricomycetes; Russulales; Wrightoporiaceae
Description: partial 28S ribosomal RNA
Source: RNAcentral
CUGACCUCAAAUCGGGUGGGACUACCCGCUGAACUUAA